RNAcentral lists this long non-coding RNA (486 nucleotides) under Mytilus galloprovincialis (Mediterranean mussel). Lineage: Eukaryota; Metazoa; Mollusca; Bivalvia; Mytilida; Mytilidae. The record is from RNAcentral.
AAAUAAAUUAUGCUCCAUGUAAAAAAAACGAAGAUGUGGUACAAUUGUCGAUAGGAAAUGUUCCAGUCAGAUCCAAAUGAAUUAAAAAUUGACAACUAUAUGAAUUCUUAAGGCCUUCAACAGUGAGCAAAACCCAUGCCGUAUAAAUUAUAAAAAUCCCUUAAAUAACAAAAGUAAAACAACUUACACUAAAACUAACGGCCUGAUUUUUGUACCAAACAAUAAAGAACAGAUAAAUUAAAUAAACAAAACCAAACGACAACCAAUAAAUUACAUGUUCUUGAUUUGGAACAGGCACAAAUAUAAUAUGUCAGGGUUACGCAGGUUUACAUGCUUCAACCCUGCGGUAAGAUAAUAAAAAUCUAUAUGCAGUUCCUGUACGAGUACAGGUCACUGACCUGUGAAAAAAAACAGCAAAAUUCAUAACGUAUGGUCAGUUAUUAAAAAGCCCAGUUAUGAUAAAAAUUCAAAAUAGAAAAUUAGCGG